GUUACUGCGAAGGGGGGACGGAGAAGGCUAUGUUGGCCGGGCGACGGUUGUCCCGGUUUAAGCGUGUAGGCUGGUUUUCCAGGCAAAUCCGGAAAAUCAAGGCCGAGGCGUGAUGACGAGGCACUACGGUGCUGAAGCAACAAAUGCCCUGCUUCCAGGAAAAGCCUCUAAGCAUCAGGUAACAUCAAAUCGUACCCCAAACCGACACAGGUGGUCAGGUAGAGAAUACCAAGGCGCUUGAGAGAAC
Molecule: ribosomal RNA, 247 nt
Filed under: Shigella flexneri
Lineage: Bacteria; Pseudomonadati; Pseudomonadota; Gammaproteobacteria; Enterobacterales; Enterobacteriaceae
Description: partial 23S ribosomal RNA
Rfam family: Bacterial large subunit ribosomal RNA
Source: RNAcentral